RNAcentral lists this unclassified non-coding RNA (305 nucleotides) under Hevea brasiliensis (rubber tree). The record is from RNAcentral. Lineage: Eukaryota; Viridiplantae; Streptophyta; Magnoliopsida; Malpighiales; Euphorbiaceae.
GGUGGUGGAAAGAAGCUUCUAAAGGUAUUCAGAUCGAUUGACAUGCAGAUUAGGCUUGUUCUUGUAGCAUUUUUAAUGGAUUUGAGAAAUGGACAAUUUGGAUUUUGUGUAGUUGGCAAUUCUUUUCCUGUAACAAGUGAUUUUCAGUAUUUUAUCUUGCAACCAGUAGUCAUCGGUGCAUAAAAAAUGGAAGUUCAUUAUUGAUUUUAGCAAUAAUCUCUAGAGCAUCUGGAGGUUAUUUUCUUGCGAAUUGGGGAUAUAUUUUAGCAACCGUGAGGGUCCAUUCAUUUGCUGAGGAUUUUAAC